CGCUGGCGGCGUGCCUAAUACAUGCAAGUCGAGCGGACUUGAUGAGAAGCUUGCUUCUCUGAUGGUUAGCGGCGGACGGGUGAGUAACACGUAGGCAACCUGCCUGUAAGACUGGGAUAACUACCGGAAACGGUAGCUAAUACCGGAUAGGUGAUUUUUCUCGCAUGAGGAAGUCAAGAAAGACGGAGCAAUCUGUCACUUACGGAUGGGCCUGCGGCGCAUUAGCUAGUUGGUGAGGUAAUGGCUCACCAAGGCGACGAUGCGUAGCCGACCUGAGAGGGUGAACGGCCACACUGGGACUGAGACACGGCCCAGACUCCUACGGGAGGCAGCAGUAGGGAAUCUUCCGCAAUGGACGAAAGUCUGACGGAGCAACGCCGCGUGAGUGAAUGAAGGUUUUCGGAUCGUAAAGCUCUGUUGCCAGGGAAGAACGUCUUAGAGAGUAACUGCUCUAAGAGUGACGGUACCUGAGAAGAAAGCCCCGGCUAACUACGUGCCAGCCGCCGC
RNAcentral lists this ribosomal RNA (507 nucleotides) under uncultured bacterium. RNAcentral describes it as "bacterial SSU rRNA". It matches the Rfam family "Bacterial small subunit ribosomal RNA", at positions 34 to 518 of the family's 1533-position model. The record is from RNAcentral.